RNAcentral lists this ribosomal RNA (1474 nucleotides) under Salmonella enterica subsp. enterica serovar Paratyphi B var. L(+) tartrate +. Its description in RNAcentral is "partial 23S ribosomal RNA". It matches the Rfam family "Bacterial large subunit ribosomal RNA", at positions 711 to 2165 of the family's 2925-position model. Lineage: Bacteria; Pseudomonadati; Pseudomonadota; Gammaproteobacteria; Enterobacterales; Enterobacteriaceae. The record is from RNAcentral.
AGACCCGAAACCCGGUGAUCUAGCCAUGGGCAGGUUGAAGGUUGGGUAACACUAACUGGAGGACCGAACCGACUAAUGUUGAAAAAUUAGCGGAUGACCUGUGGCUGGGGGUGAAAGGCCAAUCAAACCGGGAGAUAGCUGGUUCUCCCCGAAAGCUAUUUAGGUAGCGCCUCGUGAAUUCAUCUCCGGGGGUAGAGCACUGUUUCGGCUAGGGGGCCAUCCCGGCUUACCAACCCGAUGCAAACUGCGAAUACCGGAGAAUGUUAUCACGGGAGACACACGGCGGGUGCUAACGUCCGUCGUGAAGAGGGAAACAACCCAGACCGCCAGCUAAGGUCCCAAAGUCAUGGUUAAGUGGGAAACGAUGUGGGAAGGCCCAGACAGCCAGGAUGUUGGCUUAGAAGCAGCCAUCAUUUAAAGAAAGCGUAAUAGCUCACUGGUCGAGUCGGCCUGCGCGGAAGAUGUAACGGGGCUAAACCAUGCACCGAAGCUGCGGCAGCGACGCUUAUGCGUUGUUGGGUAGGGGAGCGUUCUGUAAGCCUGUGAAGGUGUGUCGUGAGGCAUGCUGGAGGUAUCAGAAGUGCGAAUGCUGACAUAAGUAACGAUAAAGCGGGUGAAAAGCCCGCUCGCCGGAAGACCAAGGGUUCCUGUCCAACGUUAAUCGGGGCAGGGUGAGUCGACCCCUAAGGCGAGGCCGAAAGGCGUAGUCGAUGGGAAACAGGUUAAUAUUCCUGUACUUGGUGUUACUGCGAAGGGGGGACGGAGAAGGCUAUGUUGGCCGGGCGACGGUUGUCCCGGUUUAAGCGUGUAGGUGUGUGUUCCAGGUAAAUCCGGUUCACUUUAACACUGAGGCGUGAUGACGAGGCACUACGGUGCUGAAGCAACAAAUGCCCUGCUUCCAGGAAAAGCCUCUAAGCAUCAGGUAACAUCAAAUCGUACCCCAAACCGACACAGGUGGUCAGGUAGAGAAUACCAAGGCGCUUGAGAGAACUCGGGUGAAGGAACUAGGCAAAAUGGUGCCGUAACUUCGGGAGAAGGCACGCUGACACGUAGGUGAAGUGAUUUACUCAUGGAGCUGAAGUCAGUCGAAGAUACCAGCUGGCUGCAACUGUUUAUUAAAAACACAGCACUGUGCAAACACGAAAGUGGACGUAUACGGUGUGACGCCUGCCCGGUGCCGGAAGGUUAAUUGAUGGGGUCAGCGCAAGCGAAGCUCCUGAUCGAAGCCCCGGUAAACGGCGGCCGUAACUAUAACGGUCCUAAGGUAGCGAAAUUCCUUGUCGGGUAAGUUCCGACCUGCACGAAUGGCGUAAUGAUGGCCAGGCUGUCUCCACCCGAGACUCAGUGAAAUUGAACUCGCUGUGAAGAUGCAGUGUACCCGCGGCAAGACGGAAAGACCCCGUGAACCUUUACUAUAGCUUGACACUGAACAUUGAGCCUUGAUGUGUAGGAUAGGUGGGAGGCUUUGAAGUGU